This 253-nucleotide ribosomal RNA is filed under the name uncultured bacterium. RNAcentral's name for it is "partial 16S ribosomal RNA". It matches the Rfam family "Bacterial small subunit ribosomal RNA", at positions 524 to 776 of the family's 1533-position model. The record is from RNAcentral.
UACGAAGGGGGCUAGCGUUGCUCGGAAUCACUGGGCGUAAAGCGCACGUAGGCGGCUUCUUAAGUCAGGGGUGAAAUCCUGGAGCUCAACUCCAGAACUGCCCUUGAUACUGAGGAGCUUGAGUCCGGGAGAGGUGAGUGGAACUGCGAGUGUAGAGGUGAAAUGCGUAGAUAUUGGGAGGAACACCGGUGGCGAAGGCGGCUAUCUGGACCGGUACUGACGCUGAUACGCGAAAGCGUGGGGAGCGAACAGG